This 460-nucleotide ribosomal RNA is filed under the name uncultured bacterium. RNAcentral describes it as "partial 16S ribosomal RNA". It matches the Rfam family "Bacterial small subunit ribosomal RNA", at positions 338 to 795 of the family's 1533-position model. The record is from RNAcentral.
CCUACGGGGGGCAGCAGUGAGGAAUAUUGGUCAAUGGACGAGAGUCUGAACCAGCCAAGUAGCGUGAAGGAUGACUGCCCUAUGGGUUGUAAACUUCUUUUAUAUGGGAAUAAAAUGUUCCACGUGUGGGAUUUUGUAUGUACCAUAUGAAUAAGGAUCGGCUAACUCCGUGCCAGCAGCCGCGGUAAUACGGAGGAUACGAGCGUUAUCCGGAUUUAUUGGGUUUAAAGGGAGCGUAGGUGGUUUGUUAAGUCAGUUGUGAAAGUUUGCGGCUCAACCGUAAAAUUGCAGUUGAAACUGGCAGUCUUGAGUACAGUAGAGGUGGGCGGAAUUCGUGGUGUAGCGGUGAAAUGCUUAGAUAUCACGAAGAACACCGAUUGCGAAGGCAGUUCACUGGACUGCAACUGACACUGAGGCGCGAAAGUGUGGGUAUCAAACAGGAUUAGAUACCCUUGUAGUC